CCUACGGGAGGCAGCAGUGAGGAAUAUUGGUCAAUGGGCGGAAGCCUGAACCAGCCAAGUAGCGUGCAGGAUGACGGCCCUACGGGUUGUAAACUGCUUUUAUACGGGAAUAACGCGCCUUACGUGUAGGGCUUUGCAUGUACCGUAUGAAUAAGGACCGGCUAAUUCCGUGCCAGCAGCCGCGGGAAUACGGGAGGUCCGGGCGUUAUCCGGAUUUAUCGGGUUUAUAGGGGGCGUUGGCCGCAUGUCCAGCGUGCUGUGAAAUGUCCGGGCUCAACCCGGGCCUUGCAGCGAGAACUGGCGUGCUUGAGUCCGCGGAAGGCAGGCGGAAUUCGUAGUGUAGCGGUGAAAUGCUUAGAUAUGACGAAGAACCCCGAUUGCGAAGGCAGCUUGCUGCAGCGGAACUGACGCUGAUGCUCGAAAGCGCGGGUAUCGAACAGGAUUAGAUACCACAGUAGUC
This 460-nucleotide ribosomal RNA is filed under the name uncultured bacterium. Its description in RNAcentral is "partial 16S ribosomal RNA". It matches the Rfam family "Bacterial small subunit ribosomal RNA", at positions 338 to 795 of the family's 1533-position model. The record is from RNAcentral.